UGAGCAACAGAAGCAGGGAGUGGGGGAGGGGGCGGCUGCCCUGUCCUGAUCCCAGCCCAGGAGGCCUUGGGGAAGCCGGUGGGGUGCCUGGCGGGGCUGCUCAGGACUCAAUCCUUCCAUAGGAAGAAAACACUGACCCUGGCCAAAGCUUCGGUACACGUGGAACAGGGCCCAAAGCAAGACAGACUUGAUGACCACUGAGAUGCAGGAGCCCACGAUGGCAGCAGCUUCUCCCGUGUAGGAGCUGUCUUGGCCCCACGCUCGGCUUAUCUGAAGGGACAAUAACAUGUGGCUCAGCACCGAGUUUUCACCAGCAGCCCUGCUAGAGCCGGUGGGGAUUGGCCACCAGAAAGAAAGGAGAGCUCUGCUCAUCACGCUGCCCUCCACAGCUCCAGCUGCUGCCGCUCCCAAUCUAAGAAAGAAAUACUUCCUGCACCAAGAUUUGCAUGAGGCCAAAGGUUAUUGGGAGCCUCUGAGGGCAGGGAAGGUUGGCCUGGAGCUUAGCCAACCUCAGUCAGCCUGCCCAGUGGCUGUGAGCAGCCUUUUGGGUCAUGCCGGCCCAGCUGGAUUUUGCCCCCCAGGGAAGUAGGUGGGUGGGAGUUUAGGUUGGCCUGUUUGCUCCUUGGGACUCUCUCCCUCUCCCUCUCCCUAAUAAAUCAAUACAUCCUGAAUAAGAUUUGCAUACUCUCUGAAGAGGAAGCCAGCCUCCCUGAGCAGCAGAGGAGCCACUACCCUCCCGGGGACCAGGAACACCCCUCUUCUCAACCCACCCCUGGCCGCCAUCACUACCCAAGCUGGGCUAGAUGCUUGGCAAAGGACAAACGCAGGGCAGGACAGACUGCUGCCCCAGCUCCUCCUUUCUGUUCUGGGUGGCCCCUGCAAGGCAGGAAUUGAAAAGUGGGGUGGUAGAAGCUAGAGAGGGGGCCCUGCAGACCUGGAGCCCCAGGCCCCUUUAUAACAUCUGCCCCAGCCUUGCCCCUGCUGCCUGGUUCAUUACAAAGAAAACCAUGAACAUCAUAAACCACAUUAAUAACAAAACCAAUCAAAGCCAAAUCAAUAGAUGCUGAAAAGGCUUUUGAAAAAAUCCAGGGCCUAUUAGUGUCAAAAACCAAAAACAACAAAACCAGCAGAAAAUGCAGGAAUAAAAGGGCUUUUCCUUAACACAGAACACCCGUCUCUAACGCCAACAGCCUUUGCAGGAGAGGCAGGAUCAAGGAUGCCCACCAGCAUCCUGCUCCAUGACCAGCUCUGUGCCAAGUCUGACUUGUUCACUAUUGUUUAACGGGGACCACAGUCCUCGAAACUCUAAAAGAUGAAGGGACCAUGAAGCAAGGCAAGGAGAAACUGAAACCGCUGCUUUGGGUCAGCUGAAGGUCGGCUGAAGCAAUCUGGACCCUCCCCAGAAUGGCAGGAUCCAUCCGUGUGGAUCAGCGUCCCUCUUGUCUGUCCACAACACAGCUGGCAGCCAGAGGUAGAGACAGCACACUCAAGAGAGCCAGGGCACAUGUGCAUGGAAUCUCUGGGAGUCUGGCUCCAGGCCUCGCCGAGACCGUGGCCGUGGGGGCUCUCUGAGCCAUCCCUACCUACAGGGGUAGCCCCACUUGUGCUGGAGUGUGGGGGCCUCUCCAGCUCUGCUCCCUGAGGCCCCAUGCUGGGGCCCCUCCCCUCUCCCCUCAUGAAGCCCAGGGUCCAUGUCCUUAACUCUAGCCCUCCUGUGGGACUGCCUGCACGGGGUCAGUGAGACCCUCUGCCUCAGUUUCCCUAUCACCACCACCCACAACAGAGAGAAUAUGUCUUUUGGCCAAGGCCAGCUCCAUCCAAAACAACCACUCUUCUCUACUUUGGUUGGUGGGCACAGAGGAGCAGGGCAAGGCCACAGUUCAGCCCACAACUGAACCCUGACCCAGGCUGGGAUGGUCCCCCUUGCCUGCCUGCUUGUAGCUCCCCUGACAUGGCUGUGCUAAGCCGGUGAGAACCAGGGUCAGCUUGACGUG
This is a long non-coding RNA of Dromiciops gliroides (monito del monte), 1994 nucleotides long. RefSeq lists it as uncharacterized. The record is from RefSeq and is a predicted model, not a curated record. Lineage: Eukaryota; Metazoa; Chordata; Mammalia; Microbiotheria; Microbiotheriidae. The transcript has 3 exons.